AAGAUGGCCGCGCAGUCCUCACUGGAUUUAUCUUCCUGGAGUUGUUAUCUACGUUCUUGCUAAGGUCCUGGGAAAGAUGUCGGCGCCGCAAGGAGGAGAGUUUUCGCGCGUGCCGCCAAUGAAUGCCAAACCGCAAAGGAUGGGACCCGUUGGAUUUAAUCCAGGGCCGGGCAUGGGGAUGGUUCGGCGAGGGAUGAGCACUCGCAACAACGCCUUAGCGCUCGGGCUAGGAGUUGCCGUCGCAGGAAUAUAUACCUAUACCAUGUAUGCUUUCUCUCAAGAUGUCUUGCUGAAUGAAGUAGAGACAGAGGCUGAAAUCAUACGAGCACAGGCAGCAAAGACCUCAUCAGAUUGAGAUUGAGAUUGAAAGAAUUGAAGAAUUACCCAUUUUAGAGGUUGAAAAUCAACAUUCCUCUUUGUGCGCUAAGAUUACUUGAGGAUAAGUUAUACAACUCCAAGGAUAAUACCCUGCAUUUCAAAGUGUUCAUUGAUAACAUAUAUUGCCAUGUCUAAGCUAUAAAAGCCAUUUAACCUUUCUAUCUACUUUGUGAAACUCCAAUAAACAAACUCAAUGAAAGAUAA
This is a non-coding RNA of Notechis scutatus (mainland tiger snake), 582 nucleotides long. The record is from RefSeq and is a predicted model, not a curated record. NCBI's taxonomy places the organism in Eukaryota, Metazoa, Chordata, Lepidosauria, Squamata, Elapidae.